UGUCCAUUAUGGUGUUUCUUAAUUGCUUUUUGCUUUUUAUUAUAUCUAUCGGAUUUUAAUCCAAUGAUUAAAAAUCUGUGUGAUACGAUCAUAAAAAUCUUUCGAAAGAUGUAUAGGUACUCCCAGAGAACGACCUAGUGUAACCUAGCCGACAGAAUCUUCUCGUCUGAUCCGUUCUUUCUCCCCAUCCAAAAAUUCCUCCGAUCCAAGAAGGUCUCUAUCCUGCAGGAUCAAGAUUUUAGUCCACGCACCAUGCCGCUGGAAAGGCAACCACGCCGCGUGCUGCCGCAACUGGGUGCAUCGAUGAUCCCUCUGAUCAACGGGUCAGUACUACCCGUGGGCAAUUUGCCAGUCCCAUCUAAUUACGGUGUUCUGUUCAUUUUGCUGAUAGACGAUAUUCUGAUCCAUUUUGCUGAAAACAAAGCUGCUCUCAUCCUGGUUUGAAGUCAUUGAUUUUUUUUUCACUUUUUACUAAUUGAUUUUUGUAGCAGUCCCAACAGCCCAACAUAUUUAUUAUGAUCUUUCUGUUCCUUUUGUUGUCAGAUGUGCUGUCAAUCGAGCAGUAAUACGGAUGGGAGGCAGACCGCAUACAGAUGCAUAAAGGGAUGGAAGACUAGCAUUACUUUUUUUCCCAAAAAAAUCUUGUAUAUGAUCAUUUUACUUGGAAUAUAUGUAACUUCUGUAAACAAUUAUUUGUUUCCUUCAAUGUAUAUACGAGUGAAAAAGUGAUCA
Molecule: long non-coding RNA, 732 nt
Organism: Oryza sativa Japonica Group (Japanese rice)
Lineage: Eukaryota; Viridiplantae; Streptophyta; Magnoliopsida; Poales; Poaceae
Source: RefSeq, a predicted model, not a curated record